GGUAGCUCGUCGGGCUCAUAACCCGAAGGUCGGUGGUUCAAAUCCGCCUCCCGCA
This 55-nucleotide transfer RNA is filed under the name Staphylococcus aureus subsp. aureus CIG1176. RNAcentral describes it as "partial tRNA-Leu". The stretch from base 1 to 49 matches the Rfam family "tRNA", at positions 17 to 64 of the family's 71-position model. From Rfam's summary of the family: Transfer RNA (tRNA) molecules are approximately 80 nucleotides in length. The record is from RNAcentral. Lineage: Bacteria; Bacillati; Bacillota; Bacilli; Caryophanales; Staphylococcaceae.